GGACUCAAGGUUCAAGUUUCAUUUCAACCGUCAAAAACCAAAUUAAUGUAGGUACAAUGUAGAUGGAAAAAAUGAUAUUUAUUUCGCUUAUUUAUUAUUAGAGUGCAUAGUACAAUUGUGUAAUGACAUAACUUCUGAGAGAGAUUGAAUGUAACAACAAUUACAUAAUACAAUAAUAUAAUACAAAUUGAUGAUCCAACUUAAUUAAAAGACCUAAGAACAAAGACUGAAUUAGGAGAAAUAUCAUAAAAGUAUGAAUAUUGUAGUUUUAAAUGUAAAUAUACUCUUAGAAGUGCCAGAAAAUUAUUUUAGAAGUUUUUUCUCUUUUGAUAAACACAUCGACAAACACUUCCUACACACGCUGGACUGUUAGGAACGAGACACCGCAAUUUAAUGCAGUUUUUAUCUUCGUAGCAAAAUUGUAAAUCUGUGAUGUCAUAUAACAAAAAAAAGAAGAAUAUUAAUAAUGUUGUGCAUAAGAUAUAGAAGAAUUUUGAGGAGAAAAGAGCAAAUGCACUUACAUCCACCUUCUGUUACAAUAAUAAACACGAUAAGAAAAAUUAUCAUAAUAUAAGUAAAUUUAAAAAUCUCUGUCAUAUUUUACUCAUUUUCUCGGGAAAAUAG
Molecule: long non-coding RNA, 624 nt
Filed under: Lathyrus oleraceus (garden pea)
Lineage: Eukaryota; Viridiplantae; Streptophyta; Magnoliopsida; Fabales; Fabaceae
Description: Pisum sativum (pea) long non-coding RNA (PSAT_LNC000253)
Source: RNAcentral